CCCUUAGAUGUUCUGGGCCGCACGCGCGCUACACUGACGAAUGCAACGAGCUUAUAACCUUGGCCGAAAGGUCUGGGUAAUCUCCAAAUUUCGUCGUGAUGGGGAUAGAUUAUUGCAAUUAUUAAUCUUCAACGAGGAAUGCCUAGUAAGCGCGAGUCAUCAGCUUGCGUUGAUUACGUCCCUGCCCUUUGUACACACCGCCCGUCGCUCCUACCGAUUGAAUGGUCCGGUGAAGCGUUCGGACCGUGGCCUUUGGACGGUUCGCCGUCUGUUGGCUGCGGGAAGUUCGUUAAACCUUAUCACUUAGAGGAAGGUGAAGUCGUAACA
This 327-nucleotide ribosomal RNA is filed under the name uncultured eukaryote. RNAcentral describes it as "partial 18S ribosomal RNA". It matches the Rfam family "Eukaryotic small subunit ribosomal RNA", at positions 1470 to 1796 of the family's 1831-position model. The record is from RNAcentral.